GGUCUAUUAGCUCAGUUGGUUAUAGCAUCGUAUUAAUAACACGAAAUUCAUAGGUUUGAUUCUUGCAUGAGUCA
Glycine soja is the source of this 74-nucleotide non-coding RNA. Lineage: Eukaryota; Viridiplantae; Streptophyta; Magnoliopsida; Fabales; Fabaceae. The record is from Rfam.